GGUUAGCGAAGGAUAGGAUCUUAAAAUCAUUAAACUUCACUGAUUAUGAGAUUUGUAUUGACUAUAUAAAAGCAAAGUAGACAUACACAUUAAAAAAAGAUGUCAAAAAGAGCGAAAAAACUUUAAAAAUCGUUCACAUUGAUGUAUGUGGAUCAUUUUUUUCCAUGUCUAAUAGGUGAAAAAUAUUUCAUUACAUUUAGUUGACCUAUCUGAAGGGGGGCGGUUAAUAGCUUGCAAAUAGAUCUAUAAAACCAAAAGAAAUCCCAAUGAUAAGAUUGAAUGAUAUAAAGCUAGACUUAUGGCA
Molecule: long non-coding RNA, 304 nt
Filed under: Elaeis guineensis (African oil palm)
Lineage: Eukaryota; Viridiplantae; Streptophyta; Magnoliopsida; Arecales; Arecaceae
Description: long non-coding RNA (EGUI_LNC033281)
Source: RNAcentral